GGACUACUGGGGUAUCUAAUCCUGUUUGCUCCCCACGCUCUCGCGCCUCAGUGUCAGUAUCUGUCCAGGUAGCCGCCUUCGCCACUGGUGUUCCUUCCGAUCUCUACGCAUUUCACCGCUACACCGGAAAUUCCUCUACCCUCUACAGUACUCCAGCUAUUCAGUCUUCGAUGCCAUUCCUAGGUUAAGCCCAGGUCUUUCACAUCAAUCUUAAUCAACCACCUACGCGCCCUUUACGCCCAGUAACUCCGAUUAACGCUUGCACCCUCUGUAUUACCGCGGCUGCUGGCAC
RNAcentral lists this ribosomal RNA (292 nucleotides) under uncultured bacterium. RNAcentral describes it as "partial 16S ribosomal RNA". The record is from RNAcentral.